RNAcentral lists this ribosomal RNA (421 nucleotides) under uncultured soil bacterium. RNAcentral's name for it is "bacterial SSU rRNA". It matches the Rfam family "Bacterial small subunit ribosomal RNA", at positions 355 to 774 of the family's 1533-position model. The record is from RNAcentral.
UAGGGAAUAUUGGUCAAUGGGUGAGAGCCUGAACCAGCCAUGCCGCGUGCAGGAAGAAGGCCUUCUGGGUUGUAAACUGCUUUUGCCAGGGGAUAAAAAUACCUUGCGAGGUAAAUUGAAGGUACCUGGUGAAUAAGCCACGGCUAACUACGUGCCAGCAGCCGCGGUAAUACGUAGGUGGCAAGCGUUGUCCGGAUUUAUUGGGUUUAAAGGGUGCGUAGGCGGCCCUGUAAGUCAGUGCUGAAAUAUCCCAGCUUAACUGGGAGGGUGGCAUUGAUACUGCGGGGCUAGAGUACAGAUGAGGUAGGCGGAAUUGACGGUGUAGCGGUGAAAUGCUUAGAUAUCGUCAAGAACACCUAUAGCGAAGGCAGCUUACUAGGCUGUAACUGACGCUGAGGCACGAAAGUGUGGGGAUCAAACA